Sinocyclocheilus grahami is the source of this 105-nucleotide long non-coding RNA. RefSeq lists it as uncharacterized. The transcript has 3 exons. NCBI's taxonomy places the organism in Eukaryota, Metazoa, Chordata, Actinopteri, Cypriniformes, Cyprinidae. The record is from RefSeq and is a predicted model, not a curated record.
UCGAAAAAUCAUUUUUUUGCCAAUUACUCACGGGACACCCGCAAUGGCAUGGAAGCCUUGAUGUGUCUCCAUCACUUCGUGCCUGGCCAAAGGCCUACGUAGGCU